This 207-nucleotide ribosomal RNA is filed under the name uncultured bacterium. Its description in RNAcentral is "partial 16S ribosomal RNA". It matches the Rfam family "Bacterial small subunit ribosomal RNA", at positions 568 to 774 of the family's 1533-position model. The record is from RNAcentral.
CACGUAGGCUGCUUUGUAAGUCAGGGGUGAAAUCCCACGGCUCAACCGUGGAACUGCCUUUGAUGCUGCUUAGCUUGAAUCCGGGAGAGGGUGGCGGAAUUCCAGGUGUAGGAGUGAAAUCCGUAGAUAUCUGGAGGAACAUCAGUGGCGAAGGCGGCCACCUGGACCGGUAUUGACGCUGAGGUGCGAAAGCGUGGGGAGCAAACA